This 467-nucleotide ribosomal RNA is filed under the name uncultured bacterium. RNAcentral's name for it is "bacterial SSU rRNA". It matches the Rfam family "Bacterial small subunit ribosomal RNA", at positions 45 to 507 of the family's 1533-position model. The record is from RNAcentral.
UGCCUUACACAUGCAAGUCGAACGGCAGCACGGGAGCAAUCCUGGUGGCGAGUGGCGAACGGGUGAGUAAUAUAUCGGAACGUGCCCAGUCGUGGGGGAUAACGUAGCGAAAGCUACGCUAAUACCGCAUACGAUCUAUGGAUGAAAGCAGGGGAUCGCAAGACCUCGCGCGAUUGGAGCGGCCGAUAUCAGAUUAGGUAGUUGGUGAGGUAAAGGCUCACCAAGCCGACGAUCUGUAGCUGGUCUGAGAGGACGACCAGCCACACUGGGACUGAGACACGGCCCAGACUCCUACGGGAGGCAGCAGUGGGGAAUUUUGGACAAUGGGCGCAAGCCUGAUCCAGCAAUGCCGCGUGCAGGAUGAAGGCCUUCGGGUUGUAAACUGCUUUUGUACGGAACGAAACGGUGAGCUCUAAUACAGUUUGCUAAUGACGGUACCGUAAGAAUAAGCACCGGCUAACUACGUG